This 410-nucleotide ribosomal RNA is filed under the name uncultured bacterium. Its description in RNAcentral is "bacterial SSU rRNA". It matches the Rfam family "Bacterial small subunit ribosomal RNA", at positions 30 to 439 of the family's 1533-position model. The record is from RNAcentral.
AUUGAACGCUGGCGGCGUGCUUAACACAUGCAAGUCGUGCGGUAACAGGCGUAGCAAUACGUGCUGACGAGCGGCGAACGGGUGCGUAAUACAUGGGAAUCUGCCCUUUGGUGGGGAAUAACCCGGCGAAAGCCGGGCUAAUGCCGCAUAAGAUCUUCGGAUGAAAGCGGGGGAUCGUAAGACCUCGCGCCGAUGGAUGAGCCCAUGUCGGAUUAGCUAGUUGGGAGGUAACGGCUCACCAAGGCGACGAUCCGUAGCUGGUCUGAGAGGACGGCCAGCCACACUGGGACUGAGACACGGCCCAGACUCCUACGGGAGGCAGCAGUGGGGAAUAUUGGACAAUGGGCGAAAGCCUGAUCCAGCGACGCCGCGUGUGUGAAGAAGGCCUGCGGGUUGUAAAGCACUUUCGA